UACGUAGGGUGCGAGCGUUGUCCGGAAUUAUUGGGCGUAAAGAGCUUGUAGGCGGUUUGUCGCGUCUGCUGUGAAAAUCCGGGGUUCAACCCCGGACUUGCAGUGGGUACGGGCAGACUAGAGUGUGGUAGGGGAGACUGGAAUUCCUGGUGUAGCGGUGAAAUGCGCAGAUAUCAGGAGGAACACCGAUGGCGAAGGCAGGUCUCUGGGCCACUACUGACGCUGAGAAGCGAAAGCAUGGGGAGCGAACAGG
RNAcentral lists this ribosomal RNA (253 nucleotides) under uncultured bacterium. RNAcentral's name for it is "partial 16S ribosomal RNA". It matches the Rfam family "Bacterial small subunit ribosomal RNA", at positions 524 to 776 of the family's 1533-position model. The record is from RNAcentral.